CAGGCUUAACACAUGCAAGUCGAGGGGCAUCAGGAAGAAAGCUUGCUUUCUUUGCUGGCGACCGGCGCACGGGUGAGUAACACGUAUCCAACCUGCCCUUUACUCGGGGAUAGCCUUUCGAAAGAAAGACUAAUACCCGAUAGCAUAAUGAUUCCGCAUGGUUUCAUUAUUAAAGGAUUCCGGUAAAGGAUGGGGAUGCGUUCCAUUAGGUUGUUGGUGAGGUAACGGCCCACCAAGCCUUCGAUGGAUAGGGGUUCUGAGAGGAAGGUCCCCCACAUUGGAACUGAGACACGGUCCAAACUCCUACGGGAGGCAGCAGUGAGGAAUAUUGGUCAAUGGGCGCUAGCCUGAACCAGCCAAGUAGCGUGAAGGAUGAAGGCUCUAUGGGUCGUAAACUUCUUUUAUAUAAGAAUAAAGUGCAGUAUGUAUACUGUUUUGUAUGUAUUAUAUGAAUAAGGAUCGGCUAACUCCGUGCCAGCAGCCGCGGUAAUACGGAGGAUCCGAGCGUUAUCCGGAUUUAUUGGGUUUAAAGGGAGCGUAGGUGGACUGGUAAGUCAGUUGUGAAAGUUUGCGGCUCAACCGUAAAAUUGCAGUUGAUACUGUCAGUCUUGAGUACAGUAGAGGUGGGCGGAAUUCGUGGUGUAGCGGUGAAAUGCUUAGAUAUCACGAAGAACUCCGAUUGCGAAGGCAGCUCACUGGACUGCAACUGACACUGAUGCUCGAAAGUGUGGGUAUCAAACAGGAUUAGAUACCCUGGUAGUCCACACAGUAAACGAUGAAUACUCGCUGUUUGCGAUAUACAGUAAGCGGCCAAGCGAAAGCAUUAAGUAUUCCACCUGGGGAGUACGCCGGCAACGGUGAAACUCAAAGGAAUUGACGGGGGCCCGCACAAGCGGAGGAACAUGUGGUUUAAUUCGAUGAUACGCGAGGAACCUUACCCGGGCUUAAAUUGCAGUGGAAUGAUGUGGAAACAUGUCAGUGAGCAAUCACCGCUGUGAAGGUGCUGCAUGGUUGUCGUCAGCUCGUGCCGUGAGGUGUCGGCUUAAGUGCCAUAACGAGCGCAACCCUUAUCUUUAGUUACUAACAGGUUAUGCUGAGGACUCUAGAGAGACUGCCGUCGUAAGAUGUGAGGAAGGUGGGGAUGACGUCAAAUCAGCACGGCCCUUACGUCCGGGGCUACACACGUGUUACAAUGGGGGGUACAGAAGGCAGCUAGCGGGUGACCGUAUGCUAAUCCCAAAAUCCUCUCUCAGUUCGGAUCGAAGUCUGCAACCCGACUUCGUGAAGCUGGAUUCGCUAGUAAUCGCGCAUCAGCCACGGCGCGGUGAAUACGUUCCCGGGCCUUGUACACACCGCCCGUCAAGCCAUGGGAGCCGGGGGUACCUGAAGUACGUAACCGCAAGGAUCGUCCUAGGGUAAAACUGGUGACUGGGGCUAAGUCGUA
RNAcentral lists this ribosomal RNA (1444 nucleotides) under uncultured organism. RNAcentral describes it as "16S ribosomal RNA". It matches the Rfam family "Bacterial small subunit ribosomal RNA". The record is from RNAcentral.